GUCUUCUUUACCGAAGACUGCAGCAUUAAUAUAUAGCUAUUAAGGCGAUGAAGAAAACAUUGCGUUAAAAUUAAAAUCUGACAUAUAAAAUAUUAAUAAAAUUUUUUUAUUAAUAUUUUAUAUUAAGAUGAUAAACGCUAGAUAACAGAGCCUUUGAU
Molecule: small nucleolar RNA, 158 nt
Organism: Plasmodium relictum
Lineage: Eukaryota; Apicomplexa; Aconoidasida; Haemosporida; Plasmodiidae
Source: RefSeq, a predicted model, not a curated record